UUUUAGACAUGCUUUGCAUGGCAGGCUCCCCGCACGUACGUGCGGCCAACUGUCAUGGGGCUGUCUGUUCACUGUCCCUUUGAUUAGUACUUUUGCUCGUUAGGGUCUCGCUGUGGGUUUGGCUGUGUGGAUCUACCCUUGUUGGGUAGCACGAUUGUCCCGUUGUUGCCUGUUCAGCCUGCUAUGUGGAUGCUAUGCAUCGACAAGCGGCCGAUGUGUCAUCAAAUUCCAUGUGUCUCAAAGCGCUUGUGCUUUGGAAGUGCAUUUGGAUAUUUGUUGUGUCCCAUGGAUAUUGUGCCUGUUGGGAGGUCUAUCGGCUUCAUGCUUGUAGACCGAUGAGGUCGCCUUUGCACGGAUCAUUGCUGCGGAUGAAACUUCUCAGACAUGCUGUCGGUUAGGCGC
Molecule: unclassified non-coding RNA, 402 nt
Filed under: Cyperus friburgensis
Lineage: Eukaryota; Viridiplantae; Streptophyta; Magnoliopsida; Poales; Cyperaceae
Description: partial external transcribed spacer 1f
Source: RNAcentral